Halichondria panicea is the source of this 357-nucleotide long non-coding RNA. RefSeq lists it as uncharacterized. The record is from RefSeq and is a predicted model, not a curated record. NCBI's taxonomy places the organism in Eukaryota, Metazoa, Porifera, Demospongiae, Suberitida, Halichondriidae. The transcript has 3 exons.
CUCCUCUGGUGAUGACAGUGCCUAUGAAGGAGAGGGGAUAGCUACCAGCUUUAUGCCAGACGCUGUCUGGGACUGAGGACAUGCAUGACAUGGACCUAGACGCUAGCGCUAUGGACCAGGAGAGGGCUCACUGUGUGACUCUGUAUCAGGUGUCAACGGGGGUGGGGUGGACCGGUGGACCGUCUGAUGGAAGUGGGUCACUGUCUCACUGUCCAACGAUGACGGAGAUGAACUACAAAAGUGGUGACGAAGGACCCUAAUGCAGACACACAAGGACCAAUCUCAAGACCUCCGACGCAAUUCAAUAAAUGAAUAAAUGAUGAAACCAGGCACCAAAUGAAGUAUUGGGUGGGAGGG